UUCAUGACGGGUGAUGGAGUUCCACCUUUAACCGCUCUACUGAGAUGAUGACUCCUGCUGUAGU
Photobacterium marinum is the source of this 64-nucleotide non-coding RNA. The record is from Rfam. NCBI's taxonomy places the organism in Bacteria, Pseudomonadati, Pseudomonadota, Gammaproteobacteria, Vibrionales, Vibrionaceae.